GAGGGCACAGCUGUGUGGUAAAGUGCAUGCUUAGCAUGCGUGAGGUCCUGGGUUCAAUCUCCAGUACCUCUA
This 72-nucleotide transfer RNA is filed under the name Camelus bactrianus (Bactrian camel). It matches the Rfam family "tRNA". Rfam says of the family: Transfer RNA (tRNA) molecules are approximately 80 nucleotides in length. Their secondary structure includes four short double-helical elements and three loops (D, anti-codon, and T loops). Further hydrogen bonds mediate the characteristic L-shaped molecular structure. tRNAs have two regions of fundamental functional importance: the anti-codon, which is responsible for specific mRNA codon recognition, and the 3' end, to which the tRNAs corresponding amino acid is attached (by aminoacyl-tRNA synthetases). tRNAs cope with the degeneracy of the genetic code in two manners: having more than one tRNA (with a specific anti-codon) for a particular amino acid; and 'wobble' base-pairing, i.e. permitting non-standard base-pairing at the 3rd anti-codon position. RNAcentral also lists the same sequence under 1 other name. The record is from Rfam by way of RNAcentral. Lineage: Eukaryota; Metazoa; Chordata; Mammalia; Artiodactyla; Camelidae.